UACAGAGGGUGCAAGCGUUAAUCGGAAUUACUGGGCGUAAAGCGCGCGUAGGUGGUUCGUUAAGUUGGAUGUGAAAUCCCCGGGCUCAACCUGGGAACUGCAUUCAAAACUGACGAGCUAGAGUAUGGUAGAGGGUGGUGGAAUUUCCUGUGUAGCGGUGAAAUGCGUAGAUAUAGGAAGGAACACCAGUGGCGAAGGCGACCACCUGGACUGAUACUGACCCUGAGGUGCGAAAGCGUGGGGAGCAAACAGG
Molecule: ribosomal RNA, 253 nt
Filed under: uncultured bacterium
Lineage: Bacteria
Description: partial 16S ribosomal RNA
Rfam family: Bacterial small subunit ribosomal RNA
Source: RNAcentral